This is a long non-coding RNA of Falco peregrinus (peregrine falcon), 3189 nucleotides long. RefSeq lists it as uncharacterized. NCBI's taxonomy places the organism in Eukaryota, Metazoa, Chordata, Aves, Falconiformes, Falconidae. The record is from RefSeq and is a predicted model, not a curated record. The transcript is spliced from 6 exons.
CACUUUAACAAAAAUUCAACGAACUGAUGAAAGGAAGAGGUCUUUAAAAAGUGCCAAUCUGCUUCCACUUCAGUCAGCUGAGCUGCUGCCAGCAGAGCCAUUCAUGGGGGAGUUUCUGUGAGGAAGCCCUGAAAUAAGCUGGAACUCUGCUUGGGGAAGGAGACAUUUUUGAUGAACAUCCACGUUCACAGAAGCCUGCGAACCCUUUCACAGGGUCUUUGAACAAGGCUGGGAAGAGGAGGAUGCAGAGAACGGGUUGGUGGGAGGAAAACUGUGACGGGAGCUGGAGACAGAGCGUGCAGAGCAGGAGGGAGGUACCGCAUCUGCAGGCGCAGUCCAAGGAGCGUGGAGGUCUGCCCAGGAAGGAAGAGCUGCGAGCAGCUCAGCAGAGAUGGAGGAGGAAGCAGCUCUGACGGAAACGAUGACCUGGAUUCUCAGAUCACUGAAUUGCAGGAAGACUUAGUGUCUAAUUGAGCAGCCAGCAAAAAAAACAGUAGAAAAGCAAACUAGAGCCUGAUGAGAAACUGUAAGUCCUUCACCCAGCAGCAAAGCUUUCUGGAAGGAGAAAAAGGAUGGCACUGUCUGAGAAAACAGUUUUGAGGUCAAGCUGGACAACAGCAGAGUCUUUCCAAAGCACUGGGAAAGGAAUCUAGUUGAGCCAGCAGAAAGUUCCUCAGCUGAACAAUAUAUAGGAGCAGGUCCAGGAGGCAAAUCUCAACAUGUGGUGAAGGCAGUCACAUUGCCCUGGAAAUGCAAAGGACAAAGCAAUUGUCCCCUAACUCUGUGGACAUUCCUCCUACGUUACCAAGGCUACGCAGCUUCAAAAGCAUCUGGAGAUACUAAAGCUGGAGCCCUGUGCAACCCCAAGGAAGAUGUCCAGAAGUACUGAGUGAUCCACUAGCUGUCAUCAAGAGACAGACAGACAUAGCGAGGUCUCCAGUGCAUCCUUGGGUACCCUCUCUGCUCUUCAGCUGCUGCUCCUGCAUGGCCCAGUCUCCUGAGGUCCUACACUGUGUCUGGCAGCUCUGUGCAGUUUCAGAAACCUUGGGGUGUCUAAAGUGGAGGGUAGGCAAACUGGGCCCUGCUUACCUGCAGCCAUACUGCCAGCCUGUCCUCCACUUUCUAUGAGCCCUUCCUUGUCUUCUUCUUUGGCUUCCAUCCGGGCCUUGGUAGCAUACCAAGAAGUUGCAAAUGAUCUCCAAAACCUCAAGCAUUUCAGUAGAGUUGUAGCUGUCGGCAAGAGUCCAUGCUAAAGCUGCAGCUACCGCAGCAGUGAAGCAAGUGGAGAGGGCUGAUGGUGCUGGGUCUGAGUGCUGCACAGCUUGCUGUGACACUGGGAGAGCAUCUCCUCCCUCUGCUCCAGAGGAAAGAGCUGGAAGGAAAAUGAUCAUGUGUGAUCAUUGUGUUCAUCUGAGAGAGAAUUUAAUUUGUUUGUGGAUUCAGCUGCCCAGUGCAAGCAAUAUUUGUAAGCACUGGCAGGUAAGGGCAGGACACGGUGUCUCUUUGCUUCUACUGGUUAUCCAGCGUCCCCAGGUGAGUGAGGGCAGGGGUCUAAAUGGGAUAGUCCAGUGGAGGGUGGCCCAUGAGGGAAGGCCUUUCAUGAGCUGAGAAGUCCUUGUAACUUCCUUCAUCCCUAAUUUUAGGAUAAAUCCAUUAGCAGGUUUGGCUUUUUCCCUGUGCCUUUCCUUCUCCCCUCUCUCCCUGCUAGUCUCUUUACACAGUCAGGUGGGUAACGCUUCCCUGACUACAGAAGUCAACCAGAAAGAAAACAGACAUUGGAAACCCACUGUCACUUGGAAGGUUGUUCAUGGUGCGGGUAUAAACCAGACGCAGCUUUAACAACAAAGCACAUUUUUUUUUCUCCUGUGGCUGCUUCUCCUAUCAGUAAUGGAAACAAGAAAGUGGUGCCCUCUCCGAGCACGUUAUCCUGACUCCCCGGAGUGGCAGCGACGGUCCUGGAGCGCAGCGCGUGGGUGACCCUUAGCGGGUCUAACGCCUUGCCUGCCGGCCAUGGAACCGGCACGCAGCUGUGACCGGUGCCUGUGGCAGCAGCCGGGGCUGACCCCAGGGCUGUUAAAACCAGCAGCUGGCAUCAGAGGAACACAUACAGGAAAGGUCUGUGUGGCUAUUUUUGAAGAGGAAAGACAGAAGAACUUGUUGAUAGCAAGGAGAGUUUGAAGAUGAGUUCAACAACAGAUAUUCAGAUGUGAAGAAGAAAUUCUGUAGUAGGCAGCAGUAAGACAAGCUGUUCUAUAUAGGAAACAUCUAAAUAAAAAUGGGAGUUGAUAGUAACAGCAAAGAGAGAGACAGUUGUUUUUUGGUUUUUUUUUCCAGAGGUUUGGAACGAAAGCAGAGAAAAUUGAUAUAGAGAAAACCAGGAAUAUAGACCUGCCAGUAUCCUCCAGGCCAGCAACGCCACAAAAUGGCAUUUGGAAACUAGACAUGUACCAGAAGCUUUCUCAAACACUGGGAAUCAAGAAAGAGGUGGUCACAAAUCUAACUUCAAAAUAUAUUCAGGAUACUGUUUCAGUGGACAGUGAGGAUAAAGAGCUGGAAAUCUGGAGUCCAAAUACAUGGAUAACAGGACAAUACCACGUGCAAAAAGCUCCUAAAAAACCCACUGCAAACAGGCUUAAAAAAUACUUGGUAAUGUACUGAUCUCGGGGUCCAGAGGUGUCACUUGAAAAUAAUGAAGUGCUGUCUCACUUUUGCUGACUCGAGAACACACUUGCAAAUUAUUCCAGGCUGUAUUAACAAGCAUGUGUGGACCUGAGAUUACAGCAAUGCCAAUUACAACACAUGCCAAACUAGCAGCCAAACGUGGGCUCAGGAGUCACAGGGGGUAGGGGAAGAGUAUAGGGCACGUUAAGCUAUGAGACCGCUUUGUUGUAAAAAUAUGAGCAAAAUUUGGAAGCACAUGAGAACUGCUAGCAUUUUGCUGAGUCCUCAGAUCUGAGCCUGCUAAAUUAAUGUUUAAAGUAAAAUAACAAGAUUUUAUAAUAUGUUUCUAGCUAGUCAUUUGACAGCUUUCCACAGAUGGUCUGAAGUAUGUAUGAAAAUAUAAUACAAGUAGAAAAUUUCUUGUCUAACUUUACAGAAUUCUUAUGUGCUCUCUCUCGUGCACACCUUCUACAUGUCCUGCAGCAACAGUCUAAAUGUAAUGAUUUCAUGACCACUGGUGGUUUUGGG